Molecule: ribosomal RNA, 103 nt
Filed under: uncultured bacterium
Lineage: Bacteria
Description: partial 16S ribosomal RNA
Rfam family: Bacterial small subunit ribosomal RNA
Source: RNAcentral
CUUGUACACACCGCCCGUCACACCAUGGGAGCGGGUUCUGCCAGAAGUGGGUAGCCUAACCGCAAGGAGGGCGCUUACCACGGCAGGGUUCGUGACUGGGGUG